UCUAGAUCAUAAACCUUAUAAAGAACUUAUUUAUCAGUAAAACACUUCUCUUUAAAAUAUAUUUCAAGACUUAGUAAUUUAUGAUUUUGUUUUUUGUCCAGGCCUCGAAAUGCAGUACUACAGGACAGACAUACUUUUUUAUACUCCUGUACGUGCAGAAGCUCCAAUACUACAGGAAUCAUUGUUCUCAUUGAGAAAAAUGUGGAACUAUAGAAAAGGAUUUAUGAACAGAUAUUACUAAAUAAAAAUAGCUGAGCUUUAUCAUGAUUCUCAUUAAAUAAUCUUUGGGUGCUUUUGCAAGCAUGAUCCAAGAAAGUAUGAGAAUGGAAGUAUGCACAGCAGCAGAACUAAUUCAAAGUCGACUAUGAAUGGCCCUUAAAUAGUGGAAUUGGAAGCAGUCUGUUGUCAAAGUCAACAUUGUGUUCAAUAAGAACUGUCACAAACUACAGUCCUGAAUAAUGGUAGAAAUUAUGUUAAGAGAAAUGUGAGAACAAAAAUAGUCAUUCAAUCCUGAAUGACUUUCUUCCAUAGAGAAAUGAGCAUUGAUACUGUACACUCUUUAUCAUGUGUUACCAGUUGAACACAACUACAUCAAGAUGACAAGUUAUUUUCAUCAGACAACAGAUAUGGCCAAGUAAUAUGCUGUGUACCUCUAGGACACCAUUCUGUCACUCUUCUUUUUGAGGACACAGAUUUUUGGACCACACCUUAUAUUACACGAAAAGGAGAGGGGAAUGGAUAGAAAUCAAAUGUUUUGUUUAGCAUGGCAGCCAGAAAGGUGUCGGAGUUGCGGAAGGAGGAACUACUGUACGAAGUAAGUGUCAGGGGUGCCGAUACAUUGGCAGUGUGGCUGAGUUAGCGCGGCAGCUGCGGGAAGUCACUGACCAUUCAGUUGUACUGCCGCA
This is a long non-coding RNA of Schistocerca serialis cubense, 905 nucleotides long. RefSeq lists it as uncharacterized. Lineage: Eukaryota; Metazoa; Arthropoda; Insecta; Orthoptera; Acrididae. The transcript has 4 exons. The record is from RefSeq and is a predicted model, not a curated record.